CUAGCGUAAAUUGGAUAAUCAUCAAAUAUAAUAUUUUUUUAAAAUAUCAGCUUGGGUUAGUCAUCAUCAAAGUCAGAUCGGGCCUAACUUUUCUGUACAUCGAUUUUAUCUGAGGAUAGAAUUUUCUAUCCCUAACAUAACCUAUGAAGUUUAACAAACCAAGAACUUGGUUGAUUCCAUGACAUGAAGAUAAACAAAAGUGUGUACUAUCACCAAAGUCAAAAGAGAGGGAUAUCGAAUCUCUUCUAAUAUUCCACCCUCGUGUGUAUGUUCGCCCUCAUCCAGAUUAAGAUUUUUUAUAGCAAGAUACCUACUAGACCCAAUAUUUUAGGAACACUCAAUCCAUAUCCUU
This 352-nucleotide long non-coding RNA is filed under the name Elaeis guineensis (African oil palm). Its description in RNAcentral is "long non-coding RNA (EGUI_LNC019395)". The record is from RNAcentral. Lineage: Eukaryota; Viridiplantae; Streptophyta; Magnoliopsida; Arecales; Arecaceae.